RNAcentral lists this ribosomal RNA (116 nucleotides) under uncultured bacterium. RNAcentral describes it as "partial 16S ribosomal RNA". It matches the Rfam family "Bacterial small subunit ribosomal RNA", at positions 1386 to 1501 of the family's 1533-position model. The record is from RNAcentral.
CACACCGCCCGUCACACCAUGGGAGUUUGUUGCACCAGAAGCAGGUAGCCUAACCGCAAGGGGGGCGCUUGCCACGGUGUGGCCGAUGACUGGGGUGAAGUCGUAACAAGGUACCC